GACGUAGGGCGCGAGCGUUGUCCGGAUUUAUUGGGCGUAAAGAGCUCGUAGGCGGCUUGUCGCGUCGUUCGUGAAAACCUGCGGCUCAACUGCAGGCUUGCGGUCGAUACGGGCAGGCUGGAGUUCGGUAGGGGAGACUGGAAUUCCUGGCGUAGCGGUGAAAUGCGCAGAUAUCAGGAGGAACACCGGUGGCGAAGGCGGGUCUCUGGGUCGAUACUGACGCUGAGGAGCGAAAGCGUGGGGAGCGAACAGG
RNAcentral lists this ribosomal RNA (253 nucleotides) under uncultured bacterium. RNAcentral's name for it is "partial 16S ribosomal RNA". It matches the Rfam family "Bacterial small subunit ribosomal RNA", at positions 524 to 776 of the family's 1533-position model. The record is from RNAcentral.